CACUAUGCCUCAUUGGAUUGGACUAUGUUAAAUAGUCCUUGAAACUUAUGUUUGGUAAGGGAGGGGAUUAAUUUAAAUGGGAUUGUAUAGUCCAAAGCGGAAAAAAAAAUGGGACUCGCUUGGCUAAUAGAGCGAGCCCGAAAUAUGGUUCUCAAAAUAGCGAUGGUGCUAUUUUGAACAUGCGAGUCCGACUGAAUACCACCAUCAAACACACAAACUUGACCACCACCACCAUGAGUCCACGAUCAUCAGACCACCACCAUCAAACCCAUAACCAGCAACACAGACCCAAUCAAACCAUCAUCACCACCCAGUUAGUCAAACAAAGCAUCAAAACCACCCAUAAUUAGCCACCACAUACUCAGUUCAACAACCAUCACCACCAAAUUGAACCAUCACAACUAUUAAUUAGUGGAACCGGAGAGAGAGGAGGGUGGGUGUUUGCAACCACCACAAACCCAGAAGUGAAUCUGGCUCUCUUAAAAGUUUGGGUGAGGCAUGAAGAGAGAAUAAAAAGGAAGGAAGUAAGAAGAAAAGAGAAAGGAAAGAAUAGGAAGAAGGAACGGCCUGGAAAGGAAGAACGCAAAAAAAAAAAAGGGAGGCUUGGGAAGGAAGAAGAAAGGAGGAAGAAGGAAAAAAGAAGAAGAAAGGAACGGGCCAAGAAGGAAGGAAGAAGAAAGGAGGAAGAAGAAAAAAAAGAAGAAGAAGAAAGGAACGGGCCAAGAAGGAAGGAAGAAGAAAAGUCAAUGGGGAAAAGAGGAAGGAAGAAAGAAAAGGGGAAAAAGAAAAAAGAAAAAGAAAAAAAAGAGAUGAGAUAGUUUAAGCCUGUUAAAAAUGUUAGAAUUUAUUUGUUUUCUUUUUAUUUAUUUUUAUGUCAAAAAAGCCUUAAUUAAAAUUAAAUAAUAGAAUUUUAUUAAUUAAAAUUAAUUAUUAAAAAAAUUAUUUUUUAGUCCGACACAACACCAAACAUAGGUCUUCACUAUUUUUACAAUCCAACUUCUUAGUCCGACACAGCACCAAACGUAGGUCAG
Molecule: long non-coding RNA, 1031 nt
Filed under: Prunus dulcis (almond)
Lineage: Eukaryota; Viridiplantae; Streptophyta; Magnoliopsida; Rosales; Rosaceae
Description: sRNA ncRNA
Source: RNAcentral